AGGAGCAUAGCCAAGUUGGUUAAGGCAGUGGGUUUUGAUCCCAUGAUCUCAGGUUCAAAUCCUGAUGUUCCUUCCA
Molecule: transfer RNA, 76 nt
Filed under: Salmonella enterica
Lineage: Bacteria; Pseudomonadati; Pseudomonadota; Gammaproteobacteria; Enterobacterales; Enterobacteriaceae
Also listed under: 2 other names
Description: tRNA-Gln
Rfam family: tRNA
About the family: Transfer RNA (tRNA) molecules are approximately 80 nucleotides in length. Their secondary structure includes four short double-helical elements and three loops (D, anti-codon, and T loops).
Source: RNAcentral